Molecule: small nuclear RNA, 107 nt
Organism: Colobus angolensis palliatus
Lineage: Eukaryota; Metazoa; Chordata; Mammalia; Primates; Cercopithecidae
Source: Ensembl
GUACUUGCUUCGACAGCACAUAUACUAGAACUGGAAUUAUACAGAGAAGAUUAGCAUGGCUUCCACACAAGAGUGACAUGAAAAUUUAUGAAGCAUUCCAUAUUUUU